GAUGAACGCUGGCGGCGUGCCUAAUACAUGCAAGUCGAGCGAACAGAUAAGGAGCUUGCUCCUUUGACGUUAGCGGCGGACGGGUGAGUAACACGUGGGUAACCUACCUAUAAGACUGGAAUAACUCCGGGAAACCGGGGCUAAUGCCGGAUAACAUUUAGAACCGCAUGGUUCUAAAGUGAAAGAUGGUUUUACUAUCACUUAUAGAUGGACCCGCGCCGUAUUAGCUAGUUGGUAAGGUAACGGCUUACCAAGGCAACGAUACGUAGCCGACCUGAGAGGGUGAUCGGCCACACUGGAACUGAGACACGGUCCAGACUCCUACGGGAGGCAGCAGUAGGGAAUCUUACGCAAUGGGGGAAAGCCGGACGGAGCAACGCCGCGUGAGUGAUGAAGGUCUUCGGAUCGUAAAACUCUGUUAUUAGGGAAGAACAAAUGUGUAAGUAACUGUGCACGUCUUGACGGUACCGAAUCAGAAAGCCACGGCUAACUACGUG
Molecule: ribosomal RNA, 497 nt
Filed under: uncultured bacterium
Lineage: Bacteria
Description: partial 16S ribosomal RNA
Rfam family: Bacterial small subunit ribosomal RNA
Source: RNAcentral